GAUCAUUACCGAGUGCGGGCUGCCUCCGGGCGCCCAACCUCCCACCCGUGACUACCUAACACUGUUGCUUCGGCGGGGAGCCCCCCAGGGGCGAGCCGCCGGGGACCACUGAACUUCAUGCCUGAGAGUGAUGCAGUCUGAGCCUGAAUACAAAUCAGUCAAAACUUUCAACAAUGGAUCUCUUGGUUCCGGCAUCGAUGAAGAACGCAGCGAACUGCGAUAAGUAAUGUGAAUUGCAGAAUUCAGUGAAUCAUCGAGUCUUUGAACGCACAUUGCGCCCCCUGGCAUUCCGGGGGGCAUGCCUGUCCGAGCGUCAUUGCUGCCCUCAAGCCCGGCUUGUGUGUUGGGUCGUCGUCCCCCCCGGGGGACGGGCCCGAAAGGCAGCGGCGGCACCGUGUCCGGUCCUCGAGCGUAUGGGGCUUUGUCACCCGCUCGAUUAGGGCCGGCCGGGCGCCAGCCGGCGUCUCCAACCUUAUUUUUCUCAGGUUGACCUCGGAUCAGGUAGGGAUACCCGCUGAACCUAAGCAUAUCAAU
RNAcentral lists this unclassified non-coding RNA (534 nucleotides) under Aspergillus nidulans. RNAcentral describes it as "sequence contains 18S rRNA gene, ITS1, 5.8S rRNA gene, ITS2, 28S rRNA gene". The stretch from base 163 to 316 matches the Rfam family "5.8S ribosomal RNA". The record is from RNAcentral. Lineage: Eukaryota; Fungi; Ascomycota; Eurotiomycetes; Eurotiales; Aspergillaceae.